This 616-nucleotide ribosomal RNA is filed under the name uncultured Rhodoferax sp. RNAcentral describes it as "bacterial SSU rRNA". It matches the Rfam family "Bacterial small subunit ribosomal RNA", at positions 62 to 670 of the family's 1533-position model. The record is from RNAcentral. Lineage: Bacteria; Pseudomonadati; Pseudomonadota; Betaproteobacteria; Burkholderiales; Comamonadaceae.
UUAAACGGAGCACGGGAGCAACCCUGGUGGUUAGUGGCGAACGGGUGAGUAAUAUAUCGGAACGUGCCCAGUCGCUCGGGGGAUAACUGCAGCGAAAGCUGUGCUAAUACCGCAUACGAUCUACGGAUGAAAGCGGGGGAUCGCAAGACCUCGCGCGAUUGGAGCGGCCGAUAUCAGAUUAGCUAGUUGGUGGGGUAAAGGCCCACCAAGGCGACGAUCUGUAGCUGGUCUGAGAGGACGACCAGCCACACUGGAACUGAGACACGGUCCAGACUCCUACGGGAGGCAGCAGUGGGGAAUUUUGGACAAUGGGCGCAAGCCUGAUCCAGCAAUGCCGCGUGCAGGAUGAAGGCCUUCGGGUUGUAAACUGCUUUUGUACAGAGCGAAACGGCUCUUUCUAAUACAAGGGGCUAAUGACGGUACUGUAAGAAUAAGCACCGGCUAACUACGUGCCAGCAGCCGCGGUAAUACGUAGGGUGCGAGCGUUAAUCGGAAUUACUGGGCGUAAAGCGUGCGCAGGCGGUUAUGUAAGACACGAUGUGAAAUCCCCGGGCUCAACCUGGGACCUGCAUUUGUGACUGCAUAGCUAGAGUACGGAAGAGGGGGAUGGAAAAAU